CAAAGGAAGAACGGCAUCUGAAACUGCGAAUCUUGAGUGUAGGAGGGGAGAGUGGAACUUCUGGUGGAGCGGUGAAAUGCGUAGAUAUCAGAAGGAACGUCGGCGGCGAAAGCGACUCUCUGGCCUAUUACUGACACUAAGUGUGCGAAAGUUAGGGGAGCAAACGGGAUUAGAUACCCCGGUAGUCCUAACUGUAAACGAUGGGCACUAAGUAGAGGGAAUUACCAAUGUUCUCUCUGCCGUAGCCAACGCAUUAAGUGCCCCGCCUGGGGAGUACGGCCGCAAGGCUAAAACUCAAAAGAAUUGACGGGGGCUGGCACAAGCGGUGGAGCAUGUGGCUUAAUUCGAUGCAACGCGAAAAACCUUACCGGGGUUUGACAUGGUAGAAGUAGGAGCCUGAAAGGGUAACCAACGGUAUCCAGUCCGUAACUACUGCAGGUGUUGCAUGGCUGUCGUCAGCUCGUGUCGUGAGACGUUGGGUUAAGUCCCCUAACGAGCGAAACCCUUGUUUUUAGUUACCAUCGGGUUAUGCCGGGUACUCUAAAAAGACUGCCGUCGUCAAGACGGAGGAAGGUGGGGAUGACGUCAAGUCAUCAUGGCCCUUAUACCCCGGGCUGCACACGUGCUACAAUGGUCGGUACAAAAGGAAGCAAGACCGAGAGGUGAAGCGAAUC
This 674-nucleotide ribosomal RNA is filed under the name uncultured anaerobic ammonium-oxidizing bacterium. Its description in RNAcentral is "bacterial SSU rRNA". It matches the Rfam family "Bacterial small subunit ribosomal RNA", at positions 610 to 1273 of the family's 1533-position model. The record is from RNAcentral.